Gigantopelta aegis is the source of this 613-nucleotide long non-coding RNA. RefSeq lists it as uncharacterized. Lineage: Eukaryota; Metazoa; Mollusca; Gastropoda; Neomphalida; Peltospiridae. The record is from RefSeq and is a predicted model, not a curated record. The transcript is spliced from 3 exons.
GAAAUGGAAGACGGCCAGUUUUCAGCUGGUUUUGGAGCUGGAUUUGGAACAGCGGUUGGAUUACUCGCCCUUGCUGCAGCAGCUGCUUUCUUGUACUUCUGGUUGAAAACAUCUCGUAAAUGGUCAAAACCGGAGACAAACCCAAGAUCAGCAACAGGAACCUAAUGGAAGACCGGAAGCUUAUUCUAGACCGAAAGCUCAUAUUGAACCUGAAGCAGACACUACACCCGAAGCUGACACUACAUCGGAAGCCGAGACUACACCGGAAGCUGACACUACACCGGAAGCUGACGCUGCACCGGAAGACAAUUCAACGUAUUACUCGUCGAUAAAUUCGACCAAUGCUGAGAACCCUUCUUAUGACGUUCUCACGUUUGGUGACAGUACAACAGAUAUAUACGAAGCUGUAUAAAACUGAGACUGUUAACUAUUGAGUCUGCCCAGGGGCGGACCCGAUGAGGGAGUGUACUCCCAGAAUAUCAAAGUCCCCGGAAAAAAUCGGCGUUCCAUGAGUGCAUCUCAUCACAGCUAUAUUUAUUCAAUGAGCUCUACCCUUUGUUAGUUUAGGAAGAAAGGAAAUGCUUUUUAUUUAACGACGCACUCAACACAUUUU